This 300-nucleotide ribosomal RNA is filed under the name Triticum aestivum (bread wheat). RNAcentral describes it as "partial small subunit ribosomal RNA". The record is from RNAcentral. Lineage: Eukaryota; Viridiplantae; Streptophyta; Magnoliopsida; Poales; Poaceae.
AUGGAAAUUUGCAGCAAGGACAGUUUUUUUCUGGCCUAUGAAAGAUCUGUCUCUACAGGAAGGAUGACUGAAGGUGCCAUGACAUGGAUUCUUGUAGGUAUCAUAACUCAGGAGGGGACUCGGAGGCAACGACUGGCGGUUGUUCUAUUUACACCUAGAGUGGUUGACAGGCUAGGGAGCAGGCGAUUUUUCACUCGUACUUGGUCACCGAUGGAGAUGAGUUCAGGGGAAAUGUGGCUAGGAGUUUGUACAGGUCAUUUUUUUGUCCUCGCUAUGUUAUCCAUUUACACUGAUCAGUAA